AUUGAACGCUGGCGGAAUGCUUUACACAUGCAAGUCGAACGGCAGCACGGACUUCGGUCUGGUGGCGAGUGGCGAACGGGUGAGUAAUGUAUCGGAACGUGCCCAGUCGUGGGGGAUAACGUAGUGAAAAUUACGCUAAUACCGCAUACGAUCUAUGGAUGAAAGCGGGGGAUAGCAAGACCUCGCGCGAUUGGAGCGGCCGAUAUCAGAUUAGGUAGUUGGUGGGGUAAAGGCCCACCAAGCCAACGAUCUGUAGCUGGUCUGAGAGGACGGCCAGCCACACUUGACAUGAGACACGGUCCAGACUCCUACGGGAGGCAGCAGUGGGGAAUUUUGGACAAUGGGCGAAAGCCUGAUCCAGCCAUUCCGCGUGCAGGAUGAAGGCCCUCGGGUUGUAAACUGCUUUUGUACAGAACGAAAAGGUUUCUACUAAUACUAGGAGCUCAUGACGGUACUGUAAGAAUAAGCACCGGCUAACUACGUGCCAGCCGCCGCGGUAA
This 500-nucleotide ribosomal RNA is filed under the name uncultured bacterium. RNAcentral describes it as "partial 16S ribosomal RNA". It matches the Rfam family "Bacterial small subunit ribosomal RNA", at positions 30 to 523 of the family's 1533-position model. The record is from RNAcentral.